Non-coding RNA from Cyanistes caeruleus (blue tit), 602 nucleotides. The record is from RefSeq and is a predicted model, not a curated record. NCBI's taxonomy places the organism in Eukaryota, Metazoa, Chordata, Aves, Passeriformes, Paridae.
UCUUCUUUCCUCUCUCUCAAUAGCUUUGGAGACUAAAGAACCUCAUGGAGGUGAACAGAAAGAACAGCAGAAAGCACCACUACAGAGAAUAACUCAUGGUUUUCUUAUUUUACUCCACCCAGCGGUACAUAAAGAAAAACCGUCUGAAAAAGUAGAAAUCACCUGACCAAAAAAGUGUAUCGACUGCCUUUCCUUCAGCCUUCAGGCUUUGAUCAAUGCUUUGGCCACUGCACAAGUACAGAGGAAGUCUCUGUCAUGGCCAGAGUAAAUUUUGAGAUGCUUUUCUCCUGGGACCCCAGAUUGUAAGACAUCCUGCUUAUAUGCUAUAGUCCUAAUAAAUACAGAUCAGACUUAAAGAGCUUCCAUAAAUGUCAUUAUUUCAAGGCAACCUACUCGUUCUUCAGAAGUGGAAAGCCAGAAACACCUCCAGAAUGAAACACCUACACAUGGAGAGAUUUCCAAUUCCUUCUUUUCUUAUUCCCAAGAUGUUGCCAAAUGGAGAACUGCUUUACAAGCAGGGAUUCACAGCCAAACUGAGUACUGGACACCCCCAAAGAGCAAACACAGGAAAACUGUCAAGGACAUUUGAACUAUGGGCACCU